GACGAACGCUGGCGGCGUGCUUAACACAUGCAAGUCGAACGGAAAGGCCCUGCUUUUGUGGGGUGCUCGAGUGGCGAACGGGUGAGUAAAACGUGAGUAACCUGCACUUGACUUAGGGAUAACUUCAGGAAACUGGGGCUAAUACCGGAUAGGAGCUCCUGCUGCAUGGUGGGGGUUGGAAAGUUUCGGCGGUUGGGGAUGGACUCGCGGCUUAUCAGCUUGUUGGUGGGGUAGUGGCUUACCAAGGCUUUGACGGGUAGCCGGCCUGAGAGGGUGACCGGCCACAUUGGGCCUGAGAUACGGCCCAGACUCCUACGUGAGGCAGCAGUGGGGAAUAUUGCACAAUGGGCGGAAGCCUGAUGCAGCAACGCCGCGUGCGUGAUGACGGCCUUCGGGUUGUAAACCGCUUUCGCCUGUGACGAAGCGUGAGUGACGGUACUGGGUAAAGAAGCACCGGCUAACUACGUG
RNAcentral lists this ribosomal RNA (468 nucleotides) under uncultured bacterium. Its description in RNAcentral is "partial 16S ribosomal RNA". It matches the Rfam family "Bacterial small subunit ribosomal RNA", at positions 28 to 507 of the family's 1533-position model. The record is from RNAcentral.